RNAcentral lists this ribosomal RNA (328 nucleotides) under uncultured archaeon. Its description in RNAcentral is "partial 16S ribosomal RNA". It matches the Rfam family "Archaeal small subunit ribosomal RNA", at positions 321 to 649 of the family's 1478-position model. The record is from RNAcentral.
CCCUACGGGGCGCAGCAGGCGCGAAAACUCUACAAUGCGGGCAACUGCGAUAGGGGAACAUCGAGUGGUCUCCAUAUUGGGGGCCUGUCCCCCCGCCUAAAAAGCGGGGGUUAGCAAGGGCCGGGCAAGACCGGUGCCAGCCGCCGCGGUAAUACCGGCGGCUCGAGUGGUGGCCGAUAUUAUUGAGUCUAAAGGGUCCGUAGCCGGCUUUGCAAGUCUCUCGGGAAAUCCAGCGGCUUAACCGUUGGUCGUCCGGGGGGUACUACAUUGCUUGGGACUGGGAGAGGUGAGAGGUACUCAGGGGGUAGGAGUGAAAUCCUGUAAUCCA